This 492-nucleotide ribosomal RNA is filed under the name uncultured bacterium. Its description in RNAcentral is "partial 16S ribosomal RNA". It matches the Rfam family "Bacterial small subunit ribosomal RNA", at positions 29 to 507 of the family's 1533-position model. The record is from RNAcentral.
AGUGAACGCUGGCGGUAGACCUAACACAUGCAAGUCGAACGGCAGCACAGUAAGAGCUUGCUCUUACGGGUGGCGAGUGGCGGACGGGUGAGGAAUACAUCGGAAUCUACUUUUUCGUGGGGGAUAACGUAGGGAAACUUACGCUAAUACCGCAUACUACCUACGGGUGAAAGCAGGGGAUCUUCGGACCUUGCGCGAUUGAAUGAGCCGAUGUCGGAUUAGCUAGUUGGCGGGGUAAAGGCCCACCAAGGCGACGAUCCGUAGCUGGUCUGAGAGGAUGAUCAGCCACACUGGAACUGAGACACGGUCCAGACUCCUACGGGAGGCAGCAGUGGGGAAUAUUGGACAAUGGGCGCAAGCCUGAUCCAGCCAUACCGCGUGGGUGAAGAAGGCCUUCGGGUUGUAAAGCCCUUUUGUUGGGAAAGAAAAGCAGCAGGUUAAUACCCCGCUGUUCUGACGUUACCCAAAGAAUAAGCACCGGCUAACUUCGUG